RNAcentral lists this long non-coding RNA (437 nucleotides) under Pan troglodytes (chimpanzee). RNAcentral describes it as "lincRNA". The record is from RNAcentral. Lineage: Eukaryota; Metazoa; Chordata; Mammalia; Primates; Hominidae.
CCUUUACUGCUAACACUUUACAGACGAGGAAACCGAGGCUUAUAAUGGGAGGUAGCUUGAUGAGAGAUUUUGGGGCCCUCAUGCAGAAUUCAUUGUGCCUUAUUCUCCAGCAAUGGAACUUCGGCAUCUAGAGAUUUCAAGAUUACAUUCGGGAGGCAAGUCCCUAGGACUUGAGACAAGCUGCAGCAUUCACCUGCAAGUGUGGCUCGCAAAUCAGCAGACUUUGGAGCCAUUGGAAAAGGCUGCUUCCAGUUACAAAGUGAAAAGAUAUAAGCAGCGUGCGCUGUAGACUGAGGUAGUAUCUUCGAGUUCUGUCAUUGGCACCUAUCAGUGGCUGAGAUAUCCUGGGUUGAAGUCUGCAAGGUCCAGCAUAAUGUAUUAUGCAUGAAAAGACAUCUCCUGUUACUUCAUUUUUGUAAAAGAUUACCUCAAUACUC